UACAGAGGUCCCGAGCGUUGUUCGGAUUCACUGGGCGUAAAGGGUGCGCAGGUGGGUUGGCAAGUUUGAUGUGAAAGCCCCGGGCUUAACCCGGGAAAGGCAUUGAAUACUGCUGAUCUGGAGGAUCGGAGGGGGGACUGGAAUUCUUGGUGUAGCAGUGAAAUGCGUAGAUAUCAAGAGGAACACCAGUGGCGAAGGCGAGUCCCUGGACGAUCACCUGACACUGAGGCACGAAAGCCAAGGGAGCAAACAGG
RNAcentral lists this ribosomal RNA (254 nucleotides) under uncultured bacterium. RNAcentral's name for it is "partial 16S ribosomal RNA". It matches the Rfam family "Bacterial small subunit ribosomal RNA", at positions 524 to 776 of the family's 1533-position model. The record is from RNAcentral.